Molecule: microRNA precursor, 60 nt
Filed under: Ixodes scapularis (black-legged tick)
Lineage: Eukaryota; Metazoa; Arthropoda; Arachnida; Ixodida; Ixodidae
Description: Isc-Mir-315_pre stem-loop
Source: RNAcentral
UUUUGAUUGUUGCUCAGAAGGCGUGGCAAUCUGACAAGCCUUCGAGUGACUAUCAAAUCU